UACGAAGGGGACUAGCGUUGUUCGGAAUUACUGGGCGUAAAGCGCACGUAGGCGGAUUUGUAAGUCAGGGGUGAAAUCCCGGGGCUCAACCUCGGAACUGCCUUUGAUACUGCAAAUCUCGAGUCCGAUAGAGGUGGGUGGAAUUCCUAGUGUAGAGGUGAAAUUCGUAGAUAUUAGGAAGAACACCGGUGGCGAAGGCGGCCCACUGGAUCGGUACUGACGCUGAGGUGCGAAAGCUAGGGGAGCAAACGGG
Molecule: ribosomal RNA, 253 nt
Filed under: uncultured bacterium
Lineage: Bacteria
Description: partial 16S ribosomal RNA
Rfam family: Bacterial small subunit ribosomal RNA
Source: RNAcentral